GAUGAACGCUGGCGGCGUGCCUAAUACAUGCAAGUCGAGCGAACAGACGAGGAGCUUGCUCCUCUGACGUUAGCGGCGGACGGGUGAGUAACACGUGGAUAACCUACCUAUAAGACUGGGAUAACUUCGGGAAACCGGAGCUAAUACCGGAUAAUAUAUUGAACCGCAUGGUUCAAUAGUGAAAGACGGUUUUGCUGUCACUUAUAGAUGGAUCCGCGCCGCAUUAGCUAGUUGGUAAGGUAACGGCUUACCAAGGCGACGAUGCGUAGCCGACCUGAGAGGGGGUCCGGCAAACCGGAACCUGGGACCGGGCCCAACCCCCUAGGGGGGGAAGAGGUGGGAAUCCUCCGGAAAGGGGCGAAGGCUGACCGAGGAAACGCGGGGGAGGUAUGAAGGGUCUCCGAUUCGUAAACCCCUGUUAUUGGGAAGAAACAAAGGUGAAGGUAACGAUGCCCGUCUGGACGGUACCAAUCAGAAAGCCACGGCUAACUACGUG
Molecule: ribosomal RNA, 496 nt
Filed under: uncultured bacterium
Lineage: Bacteria
Description: partial 16S ribosomal RNA
Rfam family: Bacterial small subunit ribosomal RNA
Source: RNAcentral